RNAcentral lists this ribosomal RNA (323 nucleotides) under uncultured eukaryote. RNAcentral describes it as "partial 18S ribosomal RNA". It matches the Rfam family "Eukaryotic small subunit ribosomal RNA", at positions 1470 to 1796 of the family's 1831-position model. The record is from RNAcentral.
CCCUUAGAUGUUCUGGGCUGCACGCGUGCUACACUGAUAUUGCCAAUAUGUCAUUCUUAUCCGAAAUGGAUUAGGUAAUCAAGUAAUGAAAUUUCAUGCUUGGAAUCGGUAAUUGCAAUUUUAUCGUGAACGAGGAAUUCCUAGUAAGCACUAGUCAUCAGCUAAUGUUGAUUAUGUCCCUGCCCUUUGUACACACCGCCCGUCGCUACUACUGAUUGGGUGUUCAAGUGAGAUGCUUAGACCCUUGUUGCAUGGUUCAUUAUUGUGCUCCGAAAGGAAAAAGUUUCAAGCUUGAGUGUCUAGAGGAAGUAAAAGUCGUAACA